This 31-nucleotide non-coding RNA is filed under the name Rattus norvegicus (Norway rat). Lineage: Eukaryota; Metazoa; Chordata; Mammalia; Rodentia; Muridae. The record is from RNAcentral.
UACUCUAUCAAAUAGAAAUGGAAGGCACGCU